Molecule: long non-coding RNA, 3183 nt
Organism: Symphalangus syndactylus (siamang)
Lineage: Eukaryota; Metazoa; Chordata; Mammalia; Primates; Hylobatidae
Source: RefSeq, a predicted model, not a curated record
GGUGUGUCAACGUCUGGUUCUACCACUACCGGCUGUGGGGCUCUGGGCAAGAUGGGAAGAUCACACCAGAUGGCCCAGGGGAGGCCCCAGGAGAGGCCCUGCUCACAGCGAGCACACACUCCAUGGCAGUUGCUGUGACUAGGAUGAUGGGAUGUUGUUUUGUUGGUAGGACUGGGCCCAUCCAGUGAGGGUCUCAAAGCUGGGCGGGGAGAGCUGGCGUGCCACUUGGGGAGCAAGGAGCUCUGUCCCUCAGCUGGGGCUGGACGUCUACCUCUCUGACACUGCAGGUGUGUGCGCCCCCUCCCUCCUGGGGAUAUCAUGAGGAUGAAGCGGAAGCACGCAUUGUAUGUGUGCAUGUGCAGGGGGCAGGGUGAAGAAAUCUUAAAAUUUUAAACUGCUCAGGUGUCUGGGAAGUAAAGAAAAGAAGGAAGGAAUGAAGCCCUCCUUUUGCGAUGUCUUGGGGUCACAGAGACCCUUUUCUGGGAAGAUUUUUCAUUUCCCCAUCUUUUUUUGUUUGCUUAUUUGAGACAGAAUCUCGCUCUGUAGCCCAGGCUGGAGUGCAGUGGCACGAGCUCAGCUCAUUGCAACCUCCACCUCCCAGGUUCAAGCAAUUCUCCUGCCUCAGACUCCCAAGUAGCUGGGAUUACAGGUGUGAGCCACUAUGCCUGGCUAAUUUUUGUAUUUUUAGUAGAGACAGGGUUUCGCCAUGUUGGCCAGACUGGUCUCAAGCUCCUGACCUCAGGUGAUCCACCUGCCUCCCAAAGUGCUGGGAUUACAGGCGUGAGCCGCAGCGCCCGGACUCUGCACCUAUUUUCUACUCUGCCUAGGGACAGCCCAAUGCAUUCUGCAGCAGGGAGCCACGGCAAAUUGGUAACAAGCUGGCCCCUGGCCUUCAUCUCACCGCUCCCCAUUCUCAGACCUGCCCUGUCAGCUGACAGUCCUUUGAGCCAGUCUCACCUCACAGCUUGGAAUUGGCAGUGAUCAUCCCAGGCUCUGAGAAGGGCUGGCCCCUGCUAGCCUCGCAGGAAGGACCCUGCUGGCUGUGUAAAGUGUGCGUGAUGCUCAUUGGCCCCUCCGGGCCCCCUCCUUCCACCUCUUUUGCUGCCCUUCUGAGGGGUGAGCGGGCUGAGCAAGGCAUGAGCCCCCAGCCCGUCCUAGUCCUUCCUGCAUGGCUGUUUCCUGAGUGCUGCCCACUCAGCAUGCACUACCCACCCUAGGCCAGGAUGAUGCUGGGCACACCAGGGCAGCAGGGAGAGAACCCAUCCUUGUCUUUGUGAAGGGGGAAUCGUCAUAAGCAGGGAAUGAUCGCAACAUAUGAGAGACUGUGGCAUGGACUGCACCUGUCGCCUCUCGGCCUCACCUUUCUGGAGCCCCCGUUGGUCCUCAGGUCUAUGCAGACUGCGCCCCUCCCUCCCCUCCACCAGGCAGCCAGGCAGCCCCUCGCUUCUUCUUCGUCCACCCCAGGGCCUCUUGGACCUCACCUGCAGGACGUGCUCUGCAGUUUCCUGCACACCUGCAAGUGUGUGGGGGCCCAUGCCUGUGAGCCAUCCUUGAGCAAAGGCAUAAAGACCCAAGGACAAGGCCCUCCAGGCCCCUGCAAGUGGGAGGUUCAUGAGCCUCCUUGGAAGGUCCUGAAGGACAGAGCUCCAGCCACCCCAGCAGUAGCCAGCUCCGUGACCCCCGUUCCCUUCCACUCCUGUUUCACUCCCUAUCCCUCAGGGGAAUGCAGCUAAAGCAGCGGUGUCUGGGGGGCACCCAGCAGGGCCGUGACUCAGGCUGGGGAUCAGGGAGGGCCUCCCUGCAUAGGUGAGAUUUAAGCCAAGCUCUGAAGCAGGAAUGGGAGUUGUCCGGGCAAAGAGGCAUCCUGGGUGAGGAAAGCAGCCCGUGCCAAGGCCUCGAGGUCAGUCUCAGACAUUCCCGACACUUGUGCUUCAUGGCCCUUUCUCAGCCCUGGCUGGCAUCUUGCGAUGUAGUGGGGAGAGAAGCCAGGAGGAGAGCAGCUCAGCCCACGAGGAGGUGCCCAUGGAGGCCCAGGGGCCCCCAUGCACCCUCCCCAGUUUUAAGACCCUAGACCAGUCUCUCACUCUCCAGAGUCUUGGUUUCUCCACCUGUGAAAGAACCAUUUUUCCUUCCUGCCAGGAGCUGAAGUCAAAGGCACAGCAUUAUUGGGACACACUGGGGAGUGGUGGGCCCAGCACUGGGACCCAUGCUGGGUGUCCCAAGAGCACGGAAUGUUGGCAGGGAGGGGCGGAGGCCAGGCACGGAGCUCCCUGCUGCUCUGCGGCUGCCCCACCUGCAGCCCUUCCCUUCACCCCACCCCCCAGUUUGCUCUGCUCUUGGGUGGCCAGUCACCCAGGAGUGGUAUCCAGGGAGGCUCUUGCAGGCCCAGCUUCACUGGCCUGGAAGGGCUAAGCUGCCUGGCCCAGGGGUGUGUCCACUUCAUCCUGGGCAGGAUAUGGGCAUCUCGCAGGUGGAAUUCCAUGGCGGGGCUGGAGCCAGGGGGUAACUCGGCAGGACAGAGGCCCAGCCACCAGGAAGCUCGCCUGCUGAUGGCCAAGCUCAGGACACCUUGCACCCCUGUACCUGAGGACAGGCUGCGACUGAUGAGAGUGGCUUCAUCCUCAGAGGGGAAGUGUCCUGGAAGGAUGUGGCUGGAGGCACCCAGCCCUGCGGGAGCCCCUUUAAAUGAGGGGAUGCCUCGGGAAGCAGGGUGAGGGGGGCAGAAACCGGGAACUCUGGAUUUCAAGACUUGGAAGAAAAGUGCUGCAUUGUGCGGUGGCAUCUGCUUGUGGGGACAAGUGCUUCCUGGUGAGACCUCUCCAUCCCCUCCCCGCCGCCCCCCCCCCACGUCUCACACUCUUUCUCUCCCUGUCCUCCUAUCUUGGCCUUGCACUCGGGUCGUGGGUCGUGUUUGGUCUGUGAUGUCAUCACUCCCCUCCCUGUGGCUGCCAUUCAGAGCUGGCAGUAAUGAAAAGCGCCGGAUUCCCGCUCACUGGGCCCCAGCAGCACUACAGAGACAUGGAGCCCUUUGCUGCAAAUAAUUAACUUGGUCCCAUGUUGCAUAACAUCCUAAAAAGCUUUCCGGGGGCGAGCACCCGCCAGACACUGUGAGCUCAUCAAUACUGCAUCGCAUCGGACACUACUGCUGUGUGGUUUCAUUAAAAAUUUAAUUUGUGGUUUAAA